This 811-nucleotide ribosomal RNA is filed under the name uncultured bacterium. Its description in RNAcentral is "bacterial SSU rRNA". It matches the Rfam family "Bacterial small subunit ribosomal RNA", at positions 1 to 812 of the family's 1533-position model. The record is from RNAcentral.
GAAUUCGCCCUUAGAGUUUGAUCCUGGCUCAGGACUAACGCUGGCGGCGUGCCUAAUACAUGCAAGUCGAACGGUCGUGCGUUUGUAGCAAUAUGGACGUACGAUAGUGGCGAACGGGUGAGUAACACGUGGAAAACCUACCCUCGAGCGGGGGAUAACUCCGGGAAACUGGGGCUAAUACCGCAUGACAUCCCAACCUGGCAUCGGGAGGGGAUCAAAGCCGAAAGGCACUUGAGGAUGGUUCCGCGGCCUAUCAGCUAGUUGGCGGGGUAACGGCCCACCAAGGCGACGACGGGUAGCCGGCCUGAGAGGGCGAUCGGCCACAAGGGGACUGAGACACGGCCCCUACUCCUACGGGAGGCAGCAGUAGGGAAUUUUGCUCAAUGGGGGAAACCCUGAAGCAGCGACGCCGCGUGGGCGACGAAAUCCUUCGGGAUGUAAAGCCCUUUUAACCGGGACGAAAUACAUGACGGUACCGGUGGAAUAAGCCUCGGCUAACUCCGUGCCAGCAGCCGCGGUAAGACGGGGGAGGCAAGCGUUGUCCGGAAUCACUGGGUGUAAAGGGCGUGUAGGCGGGCCGGCUAGUCGGUUGUUAAAUCUCUCCGCUCAACGGAGAAGCUGCGGCCGAUACUUCCGGUCUUGAGUGCGGCAGGGGAGGAUGGAAUUCCUGGUGUAGCGGUGAAAUGCGUAGAUAUCAGGAGGAACACCGGUGGCGAAGGCGGUCCUCUGGGCCUGCACUGACGCUGAGUGCGCGAAAGCUGGGGUAGCAAACAGAAUUAGAUACUCUGGUAGUCCCAGCCCUAAACGAUGG